GGGUUGUGAGGUUAAGCGACUAAGCGUACACGGUGGAUGCCCUGGCAGUCAGAGGCGAUGAAGGACGUGCUAAACUGCGAAAAGCGUCGGUAAGGUGAUAUGAACCGUUAUAACCGGCGAUGUCCGAAUGGGGAAACCCAGUGCAAUUCGUUGCACUAUCGUUAACUGAAUACAUAGGUUAACGAGGCGAACCGGGGGAACUGAAACAUCUAAGUACCCCGAGGAAAAGAAAUCAACCGAGAUUCCCCCAGUAGCGGCGAGCGAACGGGGAGCAGCCCAGAGUCUGAAUCAGCUUGUGUGUUAGUGGAACGGUCUGGAAAGUCCGACGGUACAGGGUGAUAGUCCCGUACACCAAAAUGCACAGGUUGUGAACUCGAAGAGUAGGGCGGGACACGUGGUAUCCUGUCUGAAUAUGGGGGGACCAUCCUCCAAGGCUAAAUACUCCUGACUGACCGAUAGUGAACCAGUACCGUGAGGGAAAGGCGAAAAGAACCCCGGCGAGGGGAGUGA
Molecule: ribosomal RNA, 510 nt
Filed under: Klebsiella pneumoniae
Lineage: Bacteria; Pseudomonadati; Pseudomonadota; Gammaproteobacteria; Enterobacterales; Enterobacteriaceae
Description: partial 23S ribosomal RNA
Rfam family: Bacterial large subunit ribosomal RNA
Source: RNAcentral